ACGCUCGACACCUACGGGACAGCAGUAGGGAAUCUUCCACAAUGGACGCAAGUCUGAUGGAGCAACGCCGCGUGAGUGAAGAAGGUCUUCGGAUCGUAAAACUCUGUUGUUAGAGAAGAACACGAGUGAGAGUAACUGUUCAUUCGAUGACGGUAUCUAACCAGCAAGUCACGGCUAACUACGUGCCAGCAGCCGCGGUAAUCUGAGCGGGCUGGCAAGGC
Molecule: ribosomal RNA, 221 nt
Filed under: uncultured bacterium
Lineage: Bacteria
Description: partial 16S ribosomal RNA
Rfam family: Bacterial small subunit ribosomal RNA
Source: RNAcentral